This is a long non-coding RNA of Mus musculus (house mouse), 1542 nucleotides long. RefSeq annotates it as predicted gene, 33786. The record is from RefSeq and is a predicted model, not a curated record. NCBI's taxonomy places the organism in Eukaryota, Metazoa, Chordata, Mammalia, Rodentia, Muridae. The transcript is spliced from 2 exons.
AGAACCUUACACCUGACCAAUCAGGAAUAACUACUUAGUCCAACAACAACAGCCUCUCCGGCAGGCUGCCCAGAACGUGUUCGAACCCUCUAACGGAUCUGUCUAAUUCAGUAUGGCCGAAUUUGUUUUCUAAGCAUGGACGUCUCUAUGCGGGUUGCCCCCACAACCUUAGCCCAGGCUUAGCCAGAGCAGGAAGAUGUAAUUCUCUAUUUGACGAGGGUGGAGAGAACGGGAUGGAAAAACAAAAACAAAAACAAAAACAACAACAACAACAACAACAAAAACCCAAGAGUUUUCAGGCCCUGGCUGCUGGGUCAGAACCUGGGAGCCCUGGUCCCAUACUCCUCAUGACCCCAUCUUUCAAGUUCCUGCCCAGGACAAGGCAGAACCUGUUUCCAAAGAUCCUAUUUCCCUUGCAGGGAUGAAAGGGAGAGAGAGAGAGCUCUAUCUGUUUUAGCUGGGUCCCUUGUUUUCUUUCUAAUGGAUGCAGAGAUAUAAAGGAAGGUAUUUCACCAUUUCUUCCACCACCUUUGCAAAAGAUUUUCGACUUUCGGGGUUUUGACUGGCAGUAGAUGAGAGUUAACUCUUACACCUCUUAUACUGUUUCGCAGCGAUAAACAAAGCAAAAGGAAAGACGGGCCAAAGCAGACCGACGCCACUUCCAAGAGCGGUAGCUGGAUUUCGUUUGCUUUUAUUUUUCGCCUCCUUUUUUUUUUUUAAUUGUUUUGCCUGAGAUGUCCACCGCCCAAUGGCACAUCGAAGUCUUGGGUUAAUUGCGAAGGCUUCCUUCUCUCCGCUGCGGCUUUGGCGGAAGCUCAGAACUGCCUCCUCCCUGGCUUUCAAUUCAGUGCGGGAGGUUUUCUUUCUCCUUGCUAAUCCAGAGAAGGAGGGAAGAGGAGGGGAGACGCGGGGAAUACACUCGUUCCCGUUGUUACUUGAGGCUAAUGUUUGUUUUAUGGAGUGACUCUUUAUUCUGACUACCUCUUCAUUUUCUUUCCCUACCCCAAACCUGGCAAGUUAGGGGAAAAAAAAAAAAAGCAGCUAGGGAGGGGCCUAAGACAGGACAGGACUGCUUUGUUCUCCCUCCAAAGAAGCUAAAGGGUAGAACUGGUGAGCUUUUUGUUCGAUUGUUUUAAUUAAAAGCGGAUAUUAAGGGUGAUGGUGAUGAUGACGAAGGUAUUAACAAUCGCAGUAAAAGGGGAAAACGCGAUCCUUCUUGUCCAGCUAAGGUGGCCCUGAAGCGGUCCUUCCAACCCUCUCCCAACCACCGCGGACGCACCCGCGAAACUGACCAGAAAUAGGCGAAACCCAGGGGCAGCGCGAAUCCAGGCCUGGCGCUGCGGGCGGGAAGACGCUGGCCUCAGCGAGCGCGGCUCAUCUUCCAGAUUAGAAGAUUCCCCCCGCACACACCAGGGGACCCCCGCAACACCAAGGCACAGACAGCCUCCGGACAGAGCUGCCGCCCACUGGGCUCUGUCCGCCCAUCCGAGCCAACACUGGCUCCCGAAUACAUCAUAAUUUGGAAUAAAAUGUGAAAUCCCA